Long non-coding RNA from Capsicum annuum, 505 nucleotides. RefSeq lists it as uncharacterized. The transcript is spliced from 3 exons. The record is from RefSeq and is a predicted model, not a curated record. Lineage: Eukaryota; Viridiplantae; Streptophyta; Magnoliopsida; Solanales; Solanaceae.
GCUUCUCCACUCUCUCUCUCUACAAUCCCUCUCUUCUCUACCUUUUCUCUAAAACAAAACCAUUGCCGACCACUAGCUGCCUCACUAACCUCUAUUGGCGCUCCACCUCCUCCGUUCAUCCCCCUAAUAGCAGCCGCCCAGUGCCACCACCGAUGAAAUAGCUGCAGCCACCGCUGUCUCUCUUUCUCAAAUAGCUGCUGUCGCCACUCUUUCCAUCACCAUGACUUCAAAAUGAUCAAGUCCCCACCACCUCCACCUCCACCUCCAACUUCUCCUCCACCUCCUCCUGUAGAAGAAAAUAUUGAUGCAGAUUUGAUUGGUCUAGUUCUUGGAGAUACGGACAUGCUUGGUAGAGUGUUCAUCGAGCCUGAUGGAUCUUCGUGGUAUCCUACGUCAAAAUAAGUUAAUGAGGCUGUAAGGGGGAGCAUUAUGAGACUUUUUACAUAUCCUUGGUACGAGUGGUGGGACAUUCCUAUAGUCUCUACACAAGCCAUGUUUCAAGAGU